Long non-coding RNA from Rosa chinensis, 188 nucleotides. RefSeq lists it as uncharacterized. The record is from RefSeq and is a predicted model, not a curated record. The transcript has 4 exons. NCBI's taxonomy places the organism in Eukaryota, Viridiplantae, Streptophyta, Magnoliopsida, Rosales, Rosaceae.
GAGGACGAGGACUAAGAAGCAAAGUGACUGCACAACUGAAGGUUUAGAUGACCUUGAAAUGUACCACACUUUGGAGGAACUUGAGAGGGAGAAUGCUUUUAAUCAAGGAGUGGCGGGAACAAUGACCAAUACCAGCUCUACACAGUCACAAACUACUGCCUUGCUGCCCUCGCAGCCUACAUCUUGAG